ACGACAAAUUGUCGUUGGAGAGACGUAUCCCGUCCGCUCUGCGAAGUUAAGCAGCCUCAAGCUCGGGUAGUACUCGGGUGGGUGACCACCGGGGAAGUCCGGACGUUGGUCACCG
RNAcentral lists this ribosomal RNA (115 nucleotides) under Pythium aphanidermatum DAOM BR444. The record is from RNAcentral. Lineage: Eukaryota; Oomycota; Peronosporomycetes; Pythiales; Pythiaceae.